GGUUGUCACGCCAGUGGCACUGCCCGGUAGCUAAGUUCGGAAUCGAUAACCGCUGAAAGCAUCUAAGCGGGAAGCGAGCCCUGAGAUGAGUCAUCCCUGACCCCUUGAGGGUCCUAAAGGGCCGUUGGAGACCACAACGUUGAUAGGUGGGGUGUGUAAGCGCGGCGACGUGUUGAGCUAACCCAUACUAAUUACCCGUGAGGCUUAACCAUACAACACCCAAGAAGUGUUCUG
RNAcentral lists this ribosomal RNA (234 nucleotides) under Aeromonas sobria. RNAcentral describes it as "partial 23S ribosomal RNA". It matches the Rfam family "Bacterial large subunit ribosomal RNA", at positions 2719 to 2925 of the family's 2925-position model. Lineage: Bacteria; Pseudomonadati; Pseudomonadota; Gammaproteobacteria; Aeromonadales; Aeromonadaceae. The record is from RNAcentral.